ACCAAAUCCACCCUUCCCUAAUUCAUUUUUCGCUGAGAAGUCAUUAGUGGCCUCAACUAGUUCUUGAUAAGUAAACCAUGUCUUUGCAUUGUUGAAUCCACCAGGGUCUGCUGGAGAAUUGAGGAAAUUAGAGCUCGUUCCGUUUAUCUCAGAUGUCGUCGAUUCAUUGACCUUCAAUAAAGCAGACUCUGAUUUUGGAGAGGAGCACGUUGAGAUUGGCUUGACAUAACCACUACAAUGGACAGAAUUCUUCUUCUUUCGCUUCCGUAUGCACCAUACAACUGCUCCGAUGAUACCAACCAAUAA
RNAcentral lists this unclassified non-coding RNA (306 nucleotides) under Hevea brasiliensis (rubber tree). Lineage: Eukaryota; Viridiplantae; Streptophyta; Magnoliopsida; Malpighiales; Euphorbiaceae. The record is from RNAcentral.